CAAGGCGACGAUCCCUAGCUGGUCUGAGAGGAUGACCAGCCACACUGGAACUGAGACACGGUCCAGACUCCUACGGGAGGCAGCAGUGGGGAAUAUUGCACAAUGGGCGCAAGCCUGAUGCAGCCAUGCCGCGUGUAUGAAGAAGGCCUUCGGGUUGUAAAGUACUUUCAGCGGGGAGGAAGGUGUUGUGGUUAAUAACCGCAGCAAUUGACGUUACCCGCAGAAGAAGCACCGGCUAACUCCGUGCCAGCAGCCGCGGUAAUACGGAGGGUGCAAGCGUUAAUCGGAAUUACUGGGCGUAAAGCGCACGCAGGCGGUCUGUCAAGUCGGAUGUGAAAUCCCCGGGCUCAACCUGGGAACUGCAUUCGAAACUGGCAGGCUUGAGUCUUGUAGAGGGGGGUAGAAUUCCAGGUGUAGCGGUGAAAUGCGUAGAGAUCUGGAGGAAUACCGGUGGCGAAGGC
RNAcentral lists this ribosomal RNA (461 nucleotides) under Salmonella enterica subsp. enterica serovar Berta. RNAcentral's name for it is "bacterial SSU rRNA". It matches the Rfam family "Bacterial small subunit ribosomal RNA", at positions 269 to 722 of the family's 1533-position model. RNAcentral also lists the same sequence under 3 other names. The record is from RNAcentral. Lineage: Bacteria; Pseudomonadati; Pseudomonadota; Gammaproteobacteria; Enterobacterales; Enterobacteriaceae.